Molecule: long non-coding RNA, 1082 nt
Organism: Helianthus annuus (common sunflower)
Lineage: Eukaryota; Viridiplantae; Streptophyta; Magnoliopsida; Asterales; Asteraceae
Exons: 3
Source: RefSeq, a predicted model, not a curated record
UCUUCUUUCUCACGCUUUGACAUUCUCCACAAACCCUAGAAACAAAGCUGUUCAUGUGCCAUCUUCUUCUUCCCCUGAAUCGAUCCAAAAAUCUUCUUUAGCAAAUCGACAAUGGUGAUUCAUUUCUGUAUGGUUGUGGAUUUGGUGAUGAACGCAAACCAGAAACAACGAUGGCGAUGGCGGCUGUUAGGGUUCAGUGUAACUAAGAUUGGGGAACUGCCAACGAUAGCUAUCCGAAUUCACGAAUCAAUCAAUCUUCUUCAACACGUGAUGAGUAACCAAGCGGAAUAAUCCGAAUCGAAAUUUGGUUGAAAUGUGAAAUGGGUUUGUUGUUUGAAGAUUAAAGUUGGUUGCUUUUUCCUGUUUUAGGGUUCACAUUGUUUGUUUUGUGAGGGUUUCCAAAACUACAUCGAUGAUGUGAACAAGUUUAGGAUCAUGAUUUCCCAAAGUUUAUUAUUGCUUGGAUUUAAAGUGUAAUAUUAUAUUCUUUUGUAAAAUUAAGUCAAUAUGUUAUUUCUAGAAUAUAACUGUGAGUUUUCUUGGUGUGAAUGUUGGUCCAUCCCUUAAGAGCUGGUGCAGGUGCAUCCGGUCCAUCCCUUAAGAGCUGGAGGAUUUCGGUACUCCAUAAUUUAAAAUAUAUAAAUGCUGGAAUGUUCAGUUGUGAGAUAAAGGUUCCAGUGGGUUGUGAAUUGAGUGGUAGGCUAUGCUUCUUUUCAUGUUUUCUUUCAUGGGAUGAGUUUUUGUUCUUGAGUUUUUGGGUGGUUUUUAAAGAUGAUUCAGAGGACUACAAAAGAAAAAUUCACUUGUGGAUGACAAGAUGGUAGACCUGAUGGAUGCUCAAAAGUUUAACUGUUUUUUUAAAGAUUAUAUGGAUCUUAGUUGAUUCAAUUCUGGCGCUGAGAAGUAAAAAAAGGGUGGGGGUGGUUCUCUAUCUAUGUAGUUUUUCUCCUUUUUUGUUUUAGUCUUUGUGCUAUGAGUAAAUUGGAGGGCUUGGUAUGGUACGGUUUUUCAUGAACCCAAUGUAAGUUGCACUUUAUAACUAUCAAACGCUCUCUAUAAUGCAAAACACUUGAUUCUCUCAA